GUGGCUAAUACCGGAUGUGCCGAGAGGUGAAAGGCUUGCUGCCUGAAAAUGAGCUCGCGUCUGAUUAGCUAGUUGGUGUGGUAAGAGCGCACCAAGGCGACGAUCAGUAGCUGGUCUGAGAGGAUGAUCAGCCACACUGGGACUGAGACACGGCCCAGACUCCUACGGGAGGCAGCAGUGGGGAAUUUUCCGCAAUGGGCGAAAGCCUGACGGAGCAAUACCGCGUGAGGGAGGAAGGCUCUUGGGUUGUAAACCUCUUUUCUCAAGGAAUAAGAAAUGAAGGUACUUGAGGAAUAAGCAUCGGCUAACUCCGUGCCAGCAGCCGCGGUAAUACGGAGGAUGCAAGCGUUAUCCGGAAUGAUUGGGCGUAAAGCGUCCGCAGGUGGCACUGUAAGUCUGCUGUUAAAGAGCAAAGCUUAACUUUGUAAAAGCAGUGGAAACUACAGAGCUAGAGUGCGUUCGGGGUAGAGGGAAUUCCUGGUGUAGCGGUGAAAUGCGUAGAGAUCAGGAAGAACACCGGUGGCGAAGGCGCUCUACUAGGCCGCAACUGACACUGAGGGACGAAAGCUAGGGGAGCGAAUGGGAUUAGAUACCCCAGUAGUCCUAGCCGUAAACGAUGGAUACUAGGCGUUGCGAGUAUCGACCCUCGCAGUGCCGGAGCCAACGCGUUAAGUAUCCCGCCUGGGGAGUACGCACGCAAGUGUGAAACUCAAAGGAAUUGACGGGGGCCCGCACAAGCGGUGGAGUAUGUGGUUUAAUUCGAUGCAACGCGAAGAACCUUACCAAGACUUGACAUGUCGCGAAUCCUCUUGAAAGGAAGGAGUGCCUUAAGGAACCGCGAACA
Molecule: ribosomal RNA, 844 nt
Filed under: Anabaena sp. MBDU006
Lineage: Bacteria; Bacillati; Cyanobacteriota; Cyanophyceae; Nostocales; Nostocaceae
Description: bacterial SSU rRNA
Rfam family: Bacterial small subunit ribosomal RNA
Source: RNAcentral